Molecule: ribosomal RNA, 499 nt
Filed under: uncultured bacterium
Lineage: Bacteria
Description: partial 16S ribosomal RNA
Rfam family: Bacterial small subunit ribosomal RNA
Source: RNAcentral
GACGAACGCUGGCGGCGUGCUUAACACAUGCAAGUCGAACGGGCCCGCUCUCUUUUUUGGGGGUGGGUUGAGUGGCGAACGGGUGAGUAUCACGUGAGUAACCUGCCCCCUGCUCCUGGAUAACUGCUUGAAAGGGCGGCUAAUACGGGGUGUGCCGGCUGGUCCGCAUGGGCCUGGUCGGGAUAGUUUCAUCUUCGGGUGUUUCGGUGGGGGAUGGGCUCGCGGCCUAUCAGCUUGUUGGUGGGGUGAUGGCCCACCAAGGCGGUGACGGGUCGCCGGCCUGAGGGGGUGGGCGGCCGAACGGGGACGGGGACACGGCCCGGACUCCUGCGGGAGGCAGCAGUGGGGGGUAUUGCACAAUGGGCGGAAGCCUGAUGCAGCGACGUCGCGUGAGGGAUGGAGGCCUUCGGGUUGUGAACCUCUUUCUCCGGUGGUGAAGGCCCUGUCCGUUGCGGCGGGGUUGACGGUAGCCGGGUAUGAAGCGCCGGCUAACUACGUG